RNAcentral lists this long non-coding RNA (2504 nucleotides) under Pelobates cultripes (western spadefoot toad). Lineage: Eukaryota; Metazoa; Chordata; Amphibia; Anura; Pelobatidae. The record is from RNAcentral.
GGACAGCCUUCACCUCAAAGAUUGCUGGCUUAGAAUCACUAACAGACCAUAACAGGUAACUGAUAACAAGAAGCUAACUGCUAUCUCUACACUUUACUCUUCUAUACAUUUCUAGUACAGUUUCCUAUUUUAUUUUAUAGAUGUAAACACUUUUAAUGUGAAGUUAUUAUUUUACACAUACAGCUUUUUACAAGAAAUGAAUUGGUCACAUGGUCUGGCAGCCAUAUCAGGCUGUAUGAAAAUAUUAUAAACAUUGUCUUCUCUGAAAUUGAUGGAAGGAAUGAAUAGAAAUUUUGCACAUGUCCUUGGCAAGGUCCUCCAAUAUGAUUGAUGAAAGAGAGUUAAUACCAAACUCCACUGUCAUGCAAUUAUUACAUUUGUAUUUCCACCACUAUGAAUCUAAGUGAGUAUUAAACUCAUAUGUUUAUGAGUGCCAGAGGAAAUGGUAACAGUGUGGCUUCCAUUUUGAAAUGUAAACAAAAUGUAAAACGAAUGACACUUUAGAAUUGUACAGGUUUAAUGGCGAGCUGAUGAAUAAGAAUUAAGCUGUUUCUUUGCCGCAUGCUGUGGCAGCCAUUUUGGUUUAGGGGAUUCUUUUUUCAUCUACAAAAAUCUUCUGUGAUGUUGGUUAUGAAACACAUGAAAAUAUAUGUGUUGAACUAUGUUAUGAUUUGUAUUCACAUUUGUUCAAGAGAAGUCUUUGAUGUAGUAAAGAACCAGUUUUGGUUGGCUAAAAAUAUUAAAAUACACAUGACUGUACAAACUCAAUUAUCUCCAGGUACACAAAAACACACAAUUUUACAACACCCCAAAACAGAUAUAAUAUAACCCGGUACUCACUCAAGAUUUAUAUCCCUGGAUAGCCUUGAUCUGCGUGACCAUGAUAUCCAAAGUCACUCAAUCGAUUUGGUGGUUAAAAUUUUCCUUGGAAGUAAACCUUUGACCAACCGCACGGAUUGCUUCUGCCCAAAAUAAUUCCAUAAGAAAAGUGGUAGCAGCUGGUCAAUUUCAGGAGUUUAAAACAGAACAAAAUCCAGAACUGACCCUCUGGCUCCUAGGUAGUGAUAAUUUGCCUUGUUCAUGCGAACAAACCUACUGAACAGUGGUCUCCUGACAUGUUUGGAAUAGAAGUAGGUGUUCAACAAAGUUCAGUGGUGUUCGGGAGUUUAAGUGUCCGAUUUUAGUUCCAUGAACUCAACGACCAAACACCCAUUGUCUGCUUAAGCUUAAAAGUGACUACAACAGUGUUCACAUUCAGUACACAACAUUUCUAGUCUGUGUGAGAUCUCUGAUGUUUAAAGCAUUUCUCACAUUCGAAACAUGAGAAAGAUUUUUCUCCUGUCUGAGUUCUUUGAUGAACAACCCGGUCUAAGUACUGCCUAGAACAUUUCCCACAUGCAGGACAUGAAAAAGGUUUUUCUCUUGUGUGAGUUCUCUGGUGACUAACAAGAUGAGCGUACUGGCUAAAACAUUUCCCACAUUCAGGACAUGAAAAAGGUUUUUCUCCUGUGUGAGUUCUCUGAUGUCUCUUAAGAUCUGAUUUACAGAUAAAACUAUUCCCACACUCACUACAUGAGAAAGGUUUAUCUCCUGUGUGAGUUCUUUGAUGUCUCUUAAGCUCUGAUUUACUGAGAAAACAAUUCCCACACUCACUACAUGAGAAAGGUUUCUCUCCUGUGUGAAUUUUUUGGUGACCAACAAGAUGUGACUCCCGGCUAAAACAUUUCCCACAUUCAGGACAUGAAAAAGGUUUUUCUCCUGUGUGAGUUCUCUGAUGUUUCUUAAGAUCUGAUUUACUGAGAAAACAAUUCCCACACUCACUACACGAGAAAGGUUUCUCUCCUGUGUGAGUUCUCUGAUGUCUCCCCAGAGCUUGUUUACUAAGAAAACAAUUCCCACACUCACUACAUGAGAAAGGUUUCUCUCCUGUGUGAGUUCUCUGAUGAACAACAAGGCUUGAGUUAUAGCUAAAACAUUUCCCACAUUCGGGACACGAAAAAGGUUUUUCUCCUGUGUGAGUUCUCAGAUGUUUCUUAAGAUUUGAUUUACUGAGAAAACAAUUCCCACACUCACUACAUGAGAAAGGUUUCUCUCCUGUAUGAGUUCUCUGAUGUCUCUUAAGAUCUGAUUUACUGAGAAAACAAUUCCCACACUCACUACAUGAGAAAGGUUUCUCUCCUGUGUGAGUUCUCUGAUGAACAAUAAGGCCUGAGUGAUAGCUAAAACAUUUCCCACAUUCAGAGCAUUGACAUGGUUUUGGUUUUUUAUUUAUUAUCCAAUUUCUAGACGUACAGGAUUCCAAGAGGUUCCUUGAUUUUUGAGAGUUAGUAUCCUUGGUACUUUUAUUAAAAAAGUUCUUCAUAAUCUUGAUUAGUGUAUUUCUGUUCCUGUCACAUUCCUUCAAGAUUUCUGCUGCUGGAAAUAUCUGAAAGAAAUGUACUGUGAUUUAAAGAAAACCUGUUACUAUAAAUCAUUGUUUGUUUACAAUAUUUGGAAAAACUGAC